RNAcentral lists this ribosomal RNA (497 nucleotides) under uncultured bacterium. Its description in RNAcentral is "partial 16S ribosomal RNA". It matches the Rfam family "Bacterial small subunit ribosomal RNA", at positions 28 to 507 of the family's 1533-position model. The record is from RNAcentral.
GAUGAACGCUGGCGGCGUGCCUAAUACAUGCAAGUCGAGCGAACAGAUGAGGAGCUUGCUCCUCUGACGUUAGCGGCGGACGGGUGAGUAACACGUGGAUAACCUACCUAUAAGACUGGGAUAACUUCGGGAAACCGGAGCUAAUACCGGAUAAUAUAUUGAACCGCAUGGUUCAAUAGUGAAAGACGGUUUUGCUGUCACUUAUAGAUGGAUCCGCGCUGCAUUAGCUAGUUGGUAAGGUAACGGCUUACCAAGGCAACGAUGCGUAGCCGACCUGAGAGGGUGAACGGCCACACUGGAACUGAGACACGGUCCAGACUCCUACGGGAGGCAGCAGUAGGGAAUCUUCCGCAAUGGGCGAAAGCCUGACGGAGCAACGCCGCGUGAGUGAUGAAGGUCUUCGGAUCGUAAAACUCUGUUAUUAGGGAAGAACAAAUGUGUAAGUAACUAUGCACGUCUUGACGGUACCUAAUCAGAAAGCCACGGCUAACUACGUG